CCUACGGGAGGCAGCAGUGAGGAAUAUUGGUCAAUGGGCGAGAGCCUGAACCAGCCAAGUCGCGUGAGGGAGUACUGCCCUAUGGGUUGUAAACCUCUUUUGUCGGGGAGCAAAAGCCGGACGUGUCCGGCUGUGAGAGUACCCGAAGAAAAAGCAUCGGCUAACUCCGUGCCAGCAGCCGCGGUAAUACGGAGGAUGCGAGCGUUAUCCGGAUUUAUUGGGUUUAAAGGGUGCGCAGGCGGCUUAUUAAGUUAGUGGUAAAAUCGUGGGGCUCAACCCAAUCCAGCCGUUGAAACUGGGGAUCUAGAGUGUGAGAGAGGUAUGCGGAAUGCGUGGUGUAGCGGUGAAAUGCAUAGAUAUCACGCAGAACCCCGAUUGCGAAGGCAGCAUACCGGUGCACAACUGACGCUCAGGCACGAAAGCGUGGGUAUCGAACAGGAUUAGAUACCCGAGUAGUC
This 458-nucleotide ribosomal RNA is filed under the name uncultured bacterium. RNAcentral's name for it is "partial 16S ribosomal RNA". It matches the Rfam family "Bacterial small subunit ribosomal RNA", at positions 338 to 795 of the family's 1533-position model. The record is from RNAcentral.